UACGAAGGGGGCUAGCGUUGUUCGGAAUCACUGGGCGUAAAGCGCGCGCAGGCGGUUCUUCAAGUCAGUGGUGAAAGCCCGGAGCUCAACUCCGGAAUUGCCAUUGAAACUGUAGAACUUGAGGAUGAGAGAGGUGAGUGGAAUUCCCAGUGUAGAGGUGAAAUUCGUAGAUAUUGGGAAGAACACCGGUGGCGAAGGCGGCUCACUGGCUCAUUCCUGACGCUCAGGCGCGACAGCGUGGGGAUCAAACAGG
This 253-nucleotide ribosomal RNA is filed under the name uncultured bacterium. RNAcentral describes it as "partial 16S ribosomal RNA". It matches the Rfam family "Bacterial small subunit ribosomal RNA", at positions 524 to 776 of the family's 1533-position model. The record is from RNAcentral.